UACGAAGGGGGCUAGCGUUGCUCGGAAUCACUGGGCGUAAAGCGCACGUAGGCGGGUUCUUAAGUCAGGGGUGAAAUCCUGGAGCUCAACUCCAGAACUGCCUUUGAUACUGGGAAUCUCGAGUCCGGGAGAGGUGAGUGGAACUGCGAGUGUAGAGGUGAAAUUCGUAGAUAUUCGCAAGAACACCAGUGGCGAAGGCGGCUCACUGGCCCGGUACUGACGCUGAGGUGCGAAAGCGUGGGGAGCGAACCGG
RNAcentral lists this ribosomal RNA (253 nucleotides) under uncultured bacterium. RNAcentral's name for it is "partial 16S ribosomal RNA". It matches the Rfam family "Bacterial small subunit ribosomal RNA", at positions 524 to 776 of the family's 1533-position model. The record is from RNAcentral.